This is a long non-coding RNA of Manis pentadactyla (Chinese pangolin), 3215 nucleotides long. RefSeq lists it as uncharacterized. NCBI's taxonomy places the organism in Eukaryota, Metazoa, Chordata, Mammalia, Pholidota, Manidae. The record is from RefSeq and is a predicted model, not a curated record. The transcript is spliced from 5 exons.
AAGAGAAUUAACCUCAGCAUAUGCUAGGCAGUGCUCUCAUAAGCCAGGAUGGAUGGAAUGAAGUCAAGAAAUCAAACCACAGCAGUGCAUGGAAAUGCUAAGAAGCUGGCAAUUUCUGCUCUAGAGAGAGCAAAAGAGAAGGUUCUAUUCCUGUCUCCUUGUGUUUGGAGGCAGCCUCCCAAAUCAGAGGGGUCUUCAUCCACACAGUUCACAUCGACCAAACCUGGUGGUUAAUGGUAGUAGCAGGUUUUACUGAGGAGUAUCAAGGUGUGAAUAUCAAGGAAGGGCCCCAACCUCCCCAUCCCCACACCUAUUAGAUGGGAACUAAUAGAAAACAUUCUCUUUAAUCUGUAAGCAACAGAACCUCCAGAUGAUUACACGCUUUGGCCUUCUGAAGGAAAUGGGAUUCCGGAUCAGGGCACCUGGACCAAGUGAACGCUGCUAAUCGCUCCCCGCUCCGACCACAAACCGGGCAGAUCCCAAGAGUGCCGCGGGAGAGAGCCUGGUCCCUGGGCCACCAGCGUGAGCCGCCCCCAGGGAGCUCCCCGAGCCCCGACACGGGAAAUCCCAUCCCCACCCUGUUCCCCUCCUGCAGCGGCCUUUUCGGGGCCACGCAGCAGUCCCUUCCCGGCUCUUUGGGCCGCUGUCUCCCCGCCAUGGCAGAGCGCAACCGGCUACGCAGUGCCCGCAUCCUGGUCCCCACGCAGAUGUCCCUGUUCCCCUCUCCUAGAGAUUUCAAGGGAGGUGCAGAGGAGGACGCCUAAAUAAAAACAGGAAACUCGACUUCUAAAAAAAAAAAAAAAAGCAGCUUCAUUCAGGCUGAAUUACGGGUAAGAGUAUGAAAAAAGAAGAGAAAAAGAGUCCGGAAAUGCAAAGCUGGAGGCGGUUUUGCCGCCGUAACGCGGACCCGGCCGCAGAGCCGGGGGCAGAUGGCGCGGCUGCAGUAAGCAUGGGGCGAGCAGCGCCCGCGGCCCGGGUCCUGCAGGACAGGGCUCGCACGUGCGGGGGCCGGGAGGUGGCGCGGGGCGCCGGCGGACUUGGCGGUGGCCCCUCCAGCCCGGGUCCCCGAUCGCCAGAGCUGGGAGGGUGCGCGGCGGGAGGUAUGCGCGCCCCUCUCCCGCGCCUCGGUGGAAGCGCGGGGUCCGGCACCGCUGGUGGGAACGCAUCCCGCUCCCCUCCGCGCGGCCGGGCGCCUCGGGGCAGAGGGCCCGCAGCCAGGCGCUUCCCGGCUCCCCGCACCGCGACAGGGAGGGCAGCCCGGGCCCCGCCAGCUGUGCGCGCCCCUCUCUGAGGGCGCCCCGGGAGGGGCCUGGGGCGCAAACGCAGCCUCGGCUCAGGUCUCAGCAGUUAGCCCGGGGGGCGCCCCUUGCCGGGCUCGCUAGGCGCAGGAGGCACCGGGCCAGGGCGCACAGGCUGUGAGCGCUGGAACGUGCCCACGAGGCGGCCCCACGGUUCCCCGAGGCUCCCCAAAGUCCCUGUCCUGCCGGUCCUCUCCCCAGCUCUCCAGAUGCAGUCCGAGGAGAGCGCUUACCGGUCCCGGCGCGGCUGGCAGGGGCUGGGACGGCUCCGGCCGGCGGCCGGGCGGCCGCUGGAGCGAGGGAGCUGGGCUAGAGUGAGCCUCGAGGGAGGGAGGCGGGGCGCGGUGGGGGCGCCCCGCCUGCUGACAACCGGCACACUCCACUUUCCACUGUUUCCUUUUAACUUACAACAGGAAAAACAACAGGUCCUCCUGCCUCCCCGUCUGCCCCCCACUGUGCCCACCCCCUAAAUCCCCACCCGGUCUGCGGUUGGAGGGAGAUCACCCCAGGUGCCUCUGAAAGCUACACCUUGCCCUUCUUCAAAACAAGUGUUCUUUUUACCCUAAGGAAAACUACAGAAUAAAGGUCCUAGGAGCCCAUAACCCACCACCACCGCCAUCACGCCUUCCACAAACAACAACGGCCAGAGGAGAGCUGGAGGGCAUGCGAGAAACCGUAACUGCAGCUAGAGGCGCCCAGAAGCGCCCGCAGCACCAAAUGCAAGGAUGUCAUGGGAGAUGAGCCAAGUCAAUCCUUAAAUAUGCUUAAACAAUGACUUAAAGGACCCUCUGCAACUGGUCUGGGAGGUAAAGUACCUGUUUUGUUCGUUUGGACAGAUAAGGAAACUGAGGCUUGGAAAGGGGCUGUUUCUCCCAGAGAUGGCCUGGCCUCCCAGGGCCACCUUGGGCCCAGCAGCGGCUGCAGCAGUGAGAAGAGCAGACUGUUCCAUUUCUAGCCAGGAAAGGGGCAGAGAAUUCCGGCAAGGAGCAUGGGUUCCUACAUGGGCCCAGUUUUCUAAGAUCUAGGCUGCAGGCUUUGGACUCCCAACCGGACACCUGCGGAGGAACCAGGAGGUCCCAAGGGCCUGUCCCUGGGACUGUACCCUAACAUCCUUCCCAGCGGAAUGUCUGAGGCUCACAGCCUCACUCCCACCCCAGGCCCGGAUCAGUCCUCGGCGGAGGUCUCCAGAGCUCUCCAGGGAGAGACUGCCAAAAGCCGGAAGAGAAAUGGACAUUUCAGAGGGAAAAUCUGACGGGCAGGGAAGGACUCAAACCCUUGCCCUUUCGUCUUGGCCAUAGAAGUGUGGCGAAGGUUCUCGGUUAAGGGCGCCUUCGCUGGAGCCAGACAGGCCAGCACCGCCACUGUGGAGCUCUGUGACCUCAGGUGAUGCUGAAGUCAGGUGAUAAAAGAGUCUGAGGUCUACUGGACAAGGAAUAGCAGUAAGUUGGCCCAUGAAUCAAAAACUGGGAGGAAGAAUGUCACCUCAGCAUUGCAGAGUGCAGGCAAAACUAUCCAGACGAAGGUGUGGUACAUCAAACAAAUGGAAUAGUAUACAGCAUGGAAAACAUGCUGAAGGCCUGUAGCAUCAUGCUAACAAGGCUCCGUGCAGACUGCCUCUGUGCUGGGUCACUGCCACGUAAGUGUUACACAGGCACACGUGUGUAGCUGGAGAUGACUUCCAACAGUGAAAGCUGUGUGGGAGGGUGGUUACAGAUGUUUUUCUUGCCAUUUUUUUUUCUGUUCACAUUUUGCUAAAUGUGUCAUAAAAAUGUAAAAUUGUAUUUCCUUUUCCUGAGGUCAGAGCUAAUCCCUCUUACUGCUAUUCACACCAGUACAGAUGAGCAACUGUUCAUUCUGCCCUGGCUCCAGACGUGCUGCCCUGUGGCCAGCAGCUCAUGUGUCUCCCUCAUCUGUCAG